This 524-nucleotide ribosomal RNA is filed under the name uncultured Coscinodiscales. Its description in RNAcentral is "SSU rRNA". It matches the Rfam family "Eukaryotic small subunit ribosomal RNA", at positions 21 to 549 of the family's 1831-position model. The record is from RNAcentral. Lineage: Eukaryota; Bacillariophyta; Coscinodiscophyceae; Coscinodiscales.
UAGUCAUACGCUCGUCUCAAAGAUUAAGCCAUGCAUGUCUAAGUACAAGAUUUUUACUCUAAAACUGCGAAUGGCUCAUUAUAUCGGCUUUAACUUAUUUGAUAAUUACUUACUACUUGGAUAACCGUAGUAAUUCUAGAGCUAAUACAUGCAUUUAAACCGGACUUUAGGGAACGGUUGUACUUAUUAGAAACAAACCAACCUUCUUCGGAAGUAUGUUUGGUGAUUCAUAAUAACUUGAUGGAUCGCAUGGUUUUUACCAGCGACAAAUCAUUCAUGUUCCCGCCCUAUCAGCUUUGGAUGGUAGGGUAUUGGCCUACCAUGGCUUUUACGGGUGACGGAGGGUUAGGGCUUGACCCCGGAGAGGGAGCCUGAGAAACGGCUACCACAUCCAAGGAAGGCAGCAGGCGCGUAAAUUACCCAAUCCUGAUACAGGGAGGUAGUGACGAUAAAUAACAAUGCUGGGUCAUCUUGAUCUGGCAAUUGGAAUGAGAACCAUUUAAAUCUCAUAUCGAGGACCAAUU